Molecule: regulatory RNA element, 59 nt
Organism: Synechococcus sp. CC9311
Lineage: Bacteria; Bacillati; Cyanobacteriota; Cyanophyceae; Synechococcales; Synechococcaceae
Rfam family: psbNH RNA
Source: Rfam
GGGUUGAAUUAAGUCUCGAUACUGUAGGGGCUCCGACCCAUAUAGGGGUCGAUCCUGUG